Molecule: ribosomal RNA, 119 nt
Filed under: Pteropus alecto (black flying fox)
Lineage: Eukaryota; Metazoa; Chordata; Mammalia; Chiroptera; Pteropodidae
Source: RNAcentral
GUCUAUGGUCAUGCAACCCUGAAUGCGCUUAAAUUCGUCUGAUCUUGGAAGCUAAGCAGGGUCUGGCCUGGUUAGUUCUUGGAUGGGAGACCACCUAGGAAGACCAGGUGCUGUAGACA